Coturnix japonica (Japanese quail) is the source of this 2063-nucleotide non-coding RNA. NCBI's taxonomy places the organism in Eukaryota, Metazoa, Chordata, Aves, Galliformes, Phasianidae. The record is from RefSeq and is a predicted model, not a curated record.
AGCAGCAGAGAAAUGUGUCAGAAAGACAGGUUAUCCUCAAAAACACAUGCAAUGUGUCAGUCUCAUUUCAGCAGUGUUCUGUGUCAUUUAUAAUUUUUUUCCUGUCACGUUAACUGGUAACAGCCCUAUUUGCUAAAGGUGUAUGAUAGGAAAAAUUACAAAUUAGAAGAAACAGCACAUUCUAAACAACUUGAUUGAUGAAAAUUGUGAUGGACUGUUCCCUCUGUAGCUACAAAAAUAAAAGUAGUACACAAACAGAGGUUCUAGCCCAAUCCAGCUCUCCACUGGUAGGAAUGAAGAGAGAACUGAAACUGUAGUGUAUCAUCUCUCUUCCCCUCUGUAAUAUGGGAUAUUAAUCCUUUUUUCCUUCAGAGAGUUAUUUAGCUUUUGUAAAGUCCUUUAGCACUCCUAAUGAAGGAUUUCCUGUGCAGUUUAAAUCCCUCUUUGUGCAGAUACUCCUGACCACACCGAGAAUGUUUCUCUGCAGAAUCAGGUUCAGUGAUUUGCAUUAGGAACUGAUGAAUGUGAAGCUGAGAUUGUCCCCAGGAAUCUGGAAGAGAAAAUGAAAUUACUUCAGCGAAAAGUGAACCAGCGUGGUGGUUUUUAUAUCCCUAAGUUAGCACUGAAGAAAAGAGGAAAAUGUAGGAAGUAAUUUCACAGUGAAGCAUCAGUAUGCUGGAAGGAUUGAAGGCAUGUGAUCCUUGGCCAGAACCUCCACCCCUCUUGCACCUGUAUGGCACUGCUGAUGGCAUGAAGAUGGAACAUCAAUGGAGUCAGACACAGGUAUCCAUCUGCCUCAGCAAGAGGGCACCAACAAAUUGGAAUGGGACAGAGAAGAAAGCUGCUCCCUGGUGAUGGAAGCAAGAAGAGCUGUGUCUAACCCAUGGCUUGAACACUAGGCAAUGGUAUGUGCCUGGGGUCUCUUGGGCUGGGCCUGCUCCCAAGCCCUGGCUGUGUUAGUAAGGAGAUGGACUGUGAAUUCUGCUGUAGACAGACACAUUUAUCUUUUCUUCCUUAUGUAUGGGACAGUGCAUGAACUGAGCAUUACUUUAGGAUUGCUGGGCUCAAGCCAGCAUAGACAGCAUCCUGCUGGUGGGAGUUUUGCUUCCUGUGAAAAGCAAGGCUAGUGUGAACAGAUUAGCUUCUGCUGCAGGAGAGGCAUCUGUCAGGGGUGUACCAUGAGCAGGUCACCUUUUUCUGCCAUUAGCAGGAGAUGUGAAUUUGCUCUUCUAGGGGCAACCUUUGGCUGCUGGGGUGCUGGAGCAGGACUGAAAGUGGUGCUUCACCGGGGGCAGGCCUGAUAUGGCACACUAAAACUUUUAACAUGAUACAGGAUGUACUGUUAUUAUAUAUCCUCGUUGUAUAUAUCAUUAUGUGGAGAAGCUAAUGUAAGACCACUGAUCAGUUUUUCUGAUUAAGUUUUUUUUUUUUCCUAAUAAUUUUAACAAUUUGUAAAUAAUUUCUGACUUUAUGAACUGCUUGUAUUUUUUGUACUGUACAUUCCAAUUUGAUCAUUGUUAAUUAGUGUCAUGCCUCUGUUUUACAGCAGGCAGAAUUACUUCUCUUACUAAGGGCCCUUUGUUGCUAUUGAAUUCCUAUUCUAGUCAUCGAGCAUGAAAGUUCCUUUUUCUUCCCUCACUGCAUUUCUUCACUACCUUUGACUUAUCUGGAGUGGUUGACUCGCAAAAGUUUCUCUUUUGUAAACAAGCAGAUUAAAGGGAAGGGUGUUGGAUUAAAUAUGACAGACUCCAGUCUGAUCCUAUGAAAGUCAAUGGCAAAUCUUCCAUAAGCCACAGGGAAAACAAAGCCAGGAAGGGCUCUCCAGGUGCAAUAUUAGUGUGAUUUUAAAGGAAAGUGGUAUGUAUCAUCUCCUCUCUUGUUUGCAGCUGCCUUUUUUGGAGUGCAGCAUUUCUAGUGAGUUAGCAAAAUGCAGCUUUUGUACAAGGAAUUCAUGAAUGCUUUAUUACAAAUGAAAACAGUGUAAAAACACAUGCUAUUGGGCUGCAUUUGAACUUCCUUGAGAAAAAAGUAAAAAUAAAAGCUCUUUAGUACCAGCUAUCUAA